GUGAGAUCCCUGGAGGGAAAGCCUCUAUUCCACUCAAUAGCCUGCAUUCUUGCUGCUUAUGCAGUACCUUUCGCCACACUGCCCCACCAAUAUACCUCAACCCUGACCUUGGAGGGACUGCAUGGAAGCUAGUUCAAUCUCCAUGUUCAGUCUUUAACAUCC
RNAcentral lists this small RNA (162 nucleotides) under Chelonoidis abingdonii (Abingdon island giant tortoise). RNAcentral describes it as "TUC338 (ENSCABG00000007690.1)". The record is from RNAcentral. Lineage: Eukaryota; Metazoa; Chordata; Testudines; Testudinidae.